This is a small nucleolar RNA of Astyanax mexicanus (Mexican tetra), 209 nucleotides long. Ensembl annotates it as small nucleolar RNA, H/ACA box 53. Its record names the gene SNORA53. Lineage: Eukaryota; Metazoa; Chordata; Actinopteri; Characiformes; Acestrorhamphidae. The record is from Ensembl.
CACACGUUCCUUAGAUCCACCUCUGGGGAGACUUCUAGCUCUUGGGCUGCAGCUCCAGACUGGAGUCUCCCAACAGCUUUUCUGGCUGUACAGUUGGAGGUGCUUGAGUCAUUGGCGUGUGAGAGCAGUCUAUCUGCUUUUCAGCUCAGUUACUGCCCUGGCACCCUUGCUGGACUUUACCAGGGCAGGCAAGCUGGAGUGCGGACAAA